CUACAAAAAUUAAGGUUACAUUUAAAAUGUACUUCCCAAAUAAUAUAGUAGGAUUUUCU
RNAcentral lists this small RNA (59 nucleotides) under Arabidopsis thaliana (thale cress). RNAcentral's name for it is "ATSL028180". Lineage: Eukaryota; Viridiplantae; Streptophyta; Magnoliopsida; Brassicales; Brassicaceae. The record is from RNAcentral.